GUUCAGUGAUUUAUUACUUAAUACAUUGAUUUUUUUAAAUAUAAAGUAAUCUCAAUAAGUGCUGUGUGGCUACGGCACUAAAGAAUUUAGCCACCCCCUCUCUUCCCGUGGGUGUCGUAAGAGGCGACUAAGGGAUAACAAGGUUCCACAACCAUCUUGGAACUUAAGAAGCCGACCGAUGGCGGGAUAACCAUCCAACUGCUGGCUUUGAAAU
RNAcentral lists this unclassified non-coding RNA (214 nucleotides) under Melitaea cinxia (Glanville fritillary). Its description in RNAcentral is "misc RNA ENSMCXG00005008899.1". Lineage: Eukaryota; Metazoa; Arthropoda; Insecta; Lepidoptera; Nymphalidae. The record is from RNAcentral.